Molecule: long non-coding RNA, 3576 nt
Filed under: Musa acuminata (dwarf banana)
Lineage: Eukaryota; Viridiplantae; Streptophyta; Magnoliopsida; Zingiberales; Musaceae
Description: long non-coding RNA (MACU_LNC000262)
Source: RNAcentral
CUGUCCUGCCAAAUAUUCAUACUGAACCAUGCAUACCAAUCAGGAAUUAGUUGGUAUAUAAUUAUAUAUCACAUCAUAAGUGUAUUGCCCAAUCACCUGACCUUCCCCAUCCAAGCCCCCCUCUUUCACUUGGUGUCUCUCAAAACUCCCACAAUUUCUCUCCCAAAUCACUAUCUUCUUGCAAAUCAAGGUUCAAAGCCAAGAAUGCAUCAUCGUUUUUCUUUGAACCAAGGUAAAUCUGAAACUCAAAUUCCAAGUUAUAGGUCAGUUUUUGUUGAUUGAAACUUCAUUUUUACAUUUUUGUCAUCUGAUCAUGGUUUCAUGCUUAGACUAAAGCUUUAGUUCAACAUCUAUAUUUCCCUUUCCUAAUUUCUUGUUCAAAAGAGAUCAAAUCAAUGAAUAUCUAGUACAGAUCUAUUUCAUUCUAAGUCAGAUCCGCUCCAGUCCGACCAAGAUUCACUCAAACCAGCUGGGAUUCACUUAGAUUCAACUAGGAUUCUCUUGCAUACCCUUGAGACAAAUUUGCUCUGAACUAAAUCCACAUAAAUCCAGACUCAAUCCAUGUGCAUCAAAACUAGAUGCAUGCAGAUCCAACCAAGAUCCAUAUGGAUCUAGCCGAGAUUCAUGAGGAUCCAACUUAGAUUUGCAAAGGCCUAGAUUUUACAUAGAACUAGCCUAGGUUAGAUCUAAGUUAGAUGUAAGUUGUAUUUCAAAUAUCUAAGCAUAAAUUUUAAUAUUGUAAGCCUCAAUGAGCUUAAUAAUGAUUAUAGAAACUAAUAUUUUACUAGCAAAAUAGUGAUCCGAUAUGAUAGUAUGGCCGUCAAACGCCAUCUUUAGCAAUGGAUCUGCUCCAAAUACACUGGUCAAGUUGGAGGAAUAUAACCCGAAUGGAGAUGACCAGUGGAUACUUUAGACAUGGCCAAUGUGCAAGGAUACCCCAAAAGGGAUCCUUAAGGCUACAACAGGAAAACCAAAGGGAGAACCUCAAUAGGUUGGCAUUUGAGUUGCCCAUAUGUGAUGAAUUUGAUGAUCUCGUAGAUCAUAUUGAUGAGGACCCAAGAUUUGUGCAUCAUUGAAGAAUCAAACAUGGAUGAGGAGACCAUAUGACACUAGUAUGGAUAUGGUACUUCAUCCCAAUAUGAACAUGACAGGGCAGCGAAAUGGUGUUGGACCUUCUCAAGGAGUUGAUCUUCGAAUAUAAGGCAGCCCAAUGAUAGUAGUUCAAAGGGGCUAGGCAGGAAUGCCAGUAUAACAUAACCAAUAUUGCACAUCAGCUGAACCAGGCUACCUGUACAAGGAGGCCCUGAGAGGAAAUAUGGGAAUUCUUUAGUUCAUUUGGCAUGUCAGAUUUUGAUGUUACUGGUUCAGAUAUCAAGGCAUUCCCAGCUCAGAGUGCAUAAUAGACCAGGACCAAUGAUGCUAAUACUAGAAAGAAGAUACAUAGAAAAAGCAAUAGCAAAAUGAUUUAACUUAACCAUAUCCUUGAACAUAUAGCUUGAGGACCUUACUACGGAAAUAUGGGAUUUACUAUUGAGAAACAUAGUCCCAGUAUACAAGAUCCCAAUCUAUUGAAUUUGUCUACAAAUAACUUGAGGAGGAGGCUGAGAAAAUCCAAAAUUAGCUCAUCACUUAAAAGGUCAUGUGACCUAUAUGGUGUGAUCCUUAUGUUUGACAACUGAUUCGGCCCAACCAAAAUAUAAACUUUCUGAUCUGUUGCAAUGUAAAUAUCACCUUUCAUAAGUCAUCAAAUCACAUUCAGAUGCACAAAACUUUCAAGCUCUGAUAUAGAUUAUGGUAGAUGGGAUCGGAGAGCAAUUUAUGUGCAAGUAGUCACAAAUAAUAAUGCCAACUUCAAUAAGAUAAGUGAUCAGUUAACGGAUAUCAUAUGGCAUCUGUCGAUAAGAUUAGUGAUCAAUUAAGGGACAUCAAAUGACAUCUUCUUUGGAGACCAUAUGCGGCCCACUGUUAUACCUCAUAAUGAAGCACAUUGGUGAUAUAAUACUGGUGAAUACAACAGCAGAGACAAAGUAUUACUUGUUUUAUGUAUAAUCAUCAUCGAGUGAAUUCAUUACAAGAAGCUCUUACAGUUGAGUAGUACAUGACUAACAUCAAAUUUCAUAUCCUUAAAGUCCAUCUAACAGCAAAAGACCAAACUCAAGAGGAUGUUACCUCUUUUAUACUGCCUUGUUAGAUAAGAAAAUCAUGAGAAGAACAUAUUAUCCUCUAGAUUCUAAGAUACAAUGACUAUACCAUUGUAGUUUGUUAAGCUACUGUACAUCAUCCUACAUUGAGUAGGCCAUGUAUAUAUUACUAAGGAGAAUAUUAUGAAGGCAUAUGUUGUACAGAGAUUGUAUGAUUGCUAGGAUAUUGAAUACUCCAGAGAACUACAAAUGGCAUGUUGAAGAAUAUUUUAAAUUCAUUAUUUGUGAACUUUCUACAUUUGGAAUGAUCAAUAUAUUGGCAUCAUGAAUAAGAGUAACACUAUGUAUUAGUAUCAAUAAAUCUUAUCACCAAUAACAACUUCUUACUGGCUCUUCAUUAUGUCAUCACAACAUAAGAACUGGACAUCUCGAGUGUAAUCGAUGCAGUUAGUGAGGUACAAUAAUUAGUUGAUUAGACUGUUGUUCAUAAUAAGACAUGAACAAGUACUUAUAGUGGUCAGUCACUUUGGGACAUCUCUUUUGAAAGGUUUUUGGCACAUUCAGCAAAAACACAGUCAUUUCAUGUCAAUGUAAUCUAAAUCAUAGUAACAUAACACAAGUGGAAGCCAUCGAUAAACUACAAGUCAAUUUGCACAACAAGACAUCUUCUCCAUCAAAUAUACUAUCCAUUAGAUCUGUGGAGAUUACAGUGAGAUGGAUAUUUGCAUGUCUACCAAUGAUGAUGGCCAGAUCCAAAGGUCUUAUGUUCCUACAAUGCAAACAUAGAGCUGAAACAUAGACCGCUGAACACUAUUUUAACACGUUGCAACCAAGAUGAUGAUCACAACAUCUGUAAAUUCACCCUAUUGGUUUUCAACAAGACUCGAUGGGUUCUUCAACUGAAUCUCAUGGGCAGCAUUAUCAUGGUGAUAGUUGACUACUCAAAAUAUGACACUUUAAUUAAUGAUAAACUCACAAUUUAUAUUGUGCUACAACUGCUGCCACUGUACUUGUACAGGUCAUACUUAACUGAGCAACCUACUACCACACAAGUAAUUAAUGAUGAUAACUCCAUUAUUGCUACUACUUUGUUUUGUCAACAAAACAUAAUAAACCGAUAUCAAAUACUGUGGGAGUAGUUCCAUGGAUGACUUACUUAUAAUUAAAAUCUUGAUAUACAACCGAUGUUGAGGACUCUAAACCACUUUGCAUAGGCCGCAACCAUUUUGGUCGUGGUGAGCCAAUUAUAAAGUAUGACAUUUGAUUCUCACUUAUGUGAUUUUAAUACAUAUAUCGUGUCAUACUUAUAACUGUUACAUACAUCUAUAUUUUUUUCCUUCAUUUAUGGUUUAGAAUACAUGUUAAAAACAUGUUUUAUUUUGUUAUUUAGUAUAUAUUCAGCCAAAGUUUUAAAUUAUUAUUAAUUAUUUAGUCA